AGUGAACGCUGGCGGUAGGCCUAACACAUGCAAGUCGAACGGCAGCACAGUAAGAGCUUGCUCUUACGGGUGGCGAGUGGCGGACGGGUGAGGAAUACAUCGGAAUCUACUUUUUCGUGGGGGAUAACGUAGGGAAACUUACGCUAAUACCGCAUACGACCUACGGGUGAAAGCAGGGGAUCUUCGGACCUUGCGCGAUUGAAUGAGCCGAUGUCGGAUUAGCUAGUUGGCGGGGUAAAGGCCCACCAAGGCGACGAUCCGUAGCUGGUCUGAGAGGAUGAUCAGCCACACUGGAACUGAGACACGGUCCAGACUCCUACGGGAGGCAGCAGUGGGGAAUAUUGGACAAUGGGCGGAAGCCUUAUCCAGCCAUACCGCGUGGGUUAAGAAGGCCUUCGGGUUGGAAAGCCCUUUUGUUGGGAAAGAAAAGCAGCAGGUUAAUACCCCGCUGUUCUGACGGUACCCAAAGAAUAAGCACCGGCUAACUUCGUG
This 492-nucleotide ribosomal RNA is filed under the name uncultured bacterium. RNAcentral's name for it is "partial 16S ribosomal RNA". It matches the Rfam family "Bacterial small subunit ribosomal RNA", at positions 29 to 507 of the family's 1533-position model. The record is from RNAcentral.